This is a small nucleolar RNA of Pteronotus mesoamericanus, 124 nucleotides long. RefSeq annotates it as small nucleolar RNA SNORA3/SNORA45 family. The transcript has a single exon. The record is from RefSeq and is a predicted model, not a curated record. Lineage: Eukaryota; Metazoa; Chordata; Mammalia; Chiroptera; Mormoopidae.
UCCGAGACUUAGACCAUGUCACCUAUUGCCUUAGUGUGCUAAAGUCCUCGGAGAGCAACAGCCGACCUUAUUCACGGACUCCGGCCCCUCUAUGGCAUAGUCAGUCACCAGGUUAGUGACACGC